RNAcentral lists this ribosomal RNA (484 nucleotides) under uncultured bacterium. RNAcentral's name for it is "partial 16S ribosomal RNA". It matches the Rfam family "Bacterial small subunit ribosomal RNA", at positions 30 to 507 of the family's 1533-position model. The record is from RNAcentral.
AUUGAACGCUGGCGGCAGGCCUAACACAUGCAAGUCGAGCGGAUGAAGGGAGCUUGCUCCUGGAUUCAGCGGCGGACGGGUGAGUAAUGCCUAGGAAUCUGCCUGGUAGUGGGGGAUAACGUCCGGAGACGGGCGCUAAUACCGCAUACGUCCUGAGGGAGAAAGUGGGGGAUCUUCGGACCUCACGCUAUCAGAUGAGCCUAGGUCGGAUUAGCUAGUUGGUGGGGUAAAGGCCUACCAAGGCGACGAUCCGUAACUGGUCUGAGAGGAUGAUCAGUCACACUGGAACUGAGACACGGUCCAGACUCCUACGGGAGGCAGCAGUGGGGAACAUUGGACAAUGGGCGAAAGCCUGAUCCAGCCAUGCCGCGUGUGUGAAGAAGGUCUUCGGAUUGUAAAGCACUUUAAGUUGGGAGGAAGGGCAGUAAGUUAAUACCUUGCUGUUUUGACGUUACCAACAGAAUAAGCACCGGCUAACUUCGUG